AGUGAACGCUGGCGGCAGGCCUAACACAUGCAAGUCGAACGGCAGCACAAGAGAGCUUGCUCUCUGGGUGGCGAGUGGCGGACGGGUGAGGAAUGCAUCGGAAUCUGCCCAUUUGUGGGGGAUAACCUCGGGAAACCGGGACUAAUACCGCAUACGACCUACGGGUGAAAGCAGGGGAUCUUCGGACCUUGCGCAGAUGGAUGAGCCGAUGCCGGAUUAGCUAGUUGGAGGGGUAAAGGCCCACCAAGGCGACGAUCCGUAGCUGGUCUGAGAGGAUGAUCAGCCACACUGGGACUGAGACACGGCCCAGACUCCUACGGGAGGCAGCAGUGGGGAAUAUUGGACAAUGGGCGCAAGCCUGAUCCAGCCAUGCCGCGUGUGUGAAGAAGGCCUUCGGGUUGUAAAGCACUUUUGUUGGGAAAGAAAAGCAGCCGGCUAAUACCCGGUUGUCAUGACGGUACCCAAAGAAUAAGCACCGGCUAACUUCGUG
Molecule: ribosomal RNA, 490 nt
Filed under: uncultured bacterium
Lineage: Bacteria
Description: partial 16S ribosomal RNA
Rfam family: Bacterial small subunit ribosomal RNA
Source: RNAcentral